CAGGGUACUCGAGUGGCGAACGGGUGAGUAACACGUGGGUGAUCUGCCCUGCACUUCGGGAUAAGCUUGGGAAACUGGGUCUAAUACCGGAUAGGAACCAUCUUUAGUGUGGUGGUUGGAAAGUUUUUUCGGUGUAGGAUGAGCUAGCGGCCUAUCAGCUUGUUGGUGGGGUAAUGGCCUACCAAGGCGGCGACGGGUAGCCGGCCUGAGAGGGUGUACGGCCACAUUGGGACUGAGAUACGGCCCAG
This 248-nucleotide ribosomal RNA is filed under the name uncultured Actinomycetales bacterium. Its description in RNAcentral is "partial 16S ribosomal RNA". It matches the Rfam family "Bacterial small subunit ribosomal RNA", at positions 83 to 334 of the family's 1533-position model. Lineage: Bacteria; Bacillati; Actinomycetota; Actinomycetes; Actinomycetales. The record is from RNAcentral.